UCCGGUUGAUCCUGCCGGACCUGACUGCUAUCGGAUUGGUACUAAGCCAUGCGAGUCAUUGUAGCAAUACAAGGCGGACGGCUCAGUAACACGUAGUCAACCUAACUCGUGGACGUGGAUAACCUCGGGAAACUGAGAAUAAACCACGAUAGAUCAUAGUGCCUGGAAUGGCUUAUGGUCCAAACAGUUUACUGCCAUGGGAUGGGACUGCGGCCUAUCAGCUUGUUGGUGAGGUAAUGGCCCACCAAGGCGAUUACAGGUACGGGCUCUGAGAGGAGAAGCCCGGAGAUGGGUACUGAGACACGGACCCAGGCCCUAUGGGGCGCAGCAGGCGAGAAACCUUAGCAAUGUGCGAAAGCACGACUGGGUCAGUCCGAGUGAUUCCUGAUAAAGGAGUCUUUUGCUUGUCCUAAAAGCACAGGUGAAUAAGGGGUGGGCAAGUCUGGUGUCAGCCGCCGCGGUAAUACCAGCACCUCGAGUGGUCAGGACGUUUAUUGGGCCUAAAGCAUCCGUAGCCGGCUUUGCAAGUCUUCGGUUAAAUCCACCUGCUCAACAGAUGGGCCGCUGGAGAUACUACAGAGCUAGGGAGUGGGAGAGGCAGACGGUAUUCAGUGGGUAGGGGUAAAAUCCUCUGAUCCAUUGAGGACCACCAGUGGCGAAGGCGGUCUGCCAGAACACGUUCGACGGUGAGGGAUGAAAGCUGGGGGAGCAAACCGGAUUAGAUACCCGGGUAGUCCCAGCUGUAAACGAUGCAAACUCGGUGAUGCAUUGGCUUAUGGCCAAUGCAGUGCCGCAGGGAAGCCGUUAAGUUUGCCGCCUGGGAAGUACGGACGCAAGUCUGAAACUUAAAGGAAUUGGCGGGGGAGCACCACAAGGGGUGAAGCCUGCGGUUCAAUUGGAGUCAACGCCAGGAAUCUUACCCGGGGAGACAGCAGAAUGAAGGUCAAGCUGAAGACUUUACCAGACAAGCUGAGAGGAGGUGCAUGGCC
RNAcentral lists this ribosomal RNA (989 nucleotides) under uncultured archaeon. RNAcentral's name for it is "bacterial SSU rRNA". It matches the Rfam family "Archaeal small subunit ribosomal RNA", at positions 1 to 999 of the family's 1478-position model. The record is from RNAcentral.